RNAcentral lists this long non-coding RNA (332 nucleotides) under Mytilus galloprovincialis (Mediterranean mussel). The record is from RNAcentral. Lineage: Eukaryota; Metazoa; Mollusca; Bivalvia; Mytilida; Mytilidae.
UUUUCAGACCAAAGAGGAAAAGACUUUAUCAACAGAGUAGAAAAAACUCUAUCAAAAUACAAUUUGAAAUCUAGUAGCUACUACAUAGAAAAUCCACUGAAUAAAAUCGAAUGGAAAAGACUAGUAGGAAUAAAGAUCAAGGAAUACUGGAAAAAUUAAUGUCAUAAUGAAAAAAUGGAGAAAAAAAAACAUCACUUAAAUACAUAGAGAUACAGAACAAUCCAUUAAAUGAAGCUCACAAUAUAUGGAAAAGUGUAAAAAACAAUAGUAAAGAUGUAAAGGCAGGAGAAAUAAAAGCAAGAAUAAGUACUCAAACGUACAUAUUCCAAGCC